CCUUGAAGUUAUUGGGAAAUUGUUUUUAUUUAUUUAUUUAUUUUUGCCUAUUCACAAACGGUCUGUGUUUUUUGUGGGGAGAUUUUGUUUUGUACUAUUAUGAAGAGAGAUGUUGGGAAUUUUUGAGAGGCUGUAGAGCAUUUGUGUGGUGUGAAAGUACUGCAACUAAGCUUUUGAUGUGUGGUUCUGUUUGUCAGGUGGCCUAGCAUGAACUGAAGACCCUCCCAUGGUGGAUAUUGUCGUUAUGUUUGUCAAGCCGAGGUGUUGAUCUUUAUUAAAGGUUAGGUUUGUCUUAUAUACUUGGACCACUAAAAUGAGCUUUUGAUUCAAAAUGGUAAUGGUGGAAGUGAGAGAGUGUAAUAGAAGUCGGAGAAUACCUCCGUUUCUUGGAUGUGUUUGUUCUGGUCUUCAUGCAGCUCUAGGUGGAUAGUAAUGGAGGGUUCAUCUGAGUCUGCUUGGCAGAACUCUGAUAGUUCUAGGGCAUUGAAUAGUUCUGGAGUCUCAGACAGGAAUCUGAGUCUUCUUCCUGCCAACAGAAUUGGCUUGUCAGGUAACGCAUUGCAUGAUUCUGUGUUUGGAAAGGAGAGAGGUAGGGUUGUGUUGGCUCACACGGAUCAUCUCAAAAACCAGGGUGGUUCGUCUGGAGUUUGUGAGGAUGAGGUUGCAGUUGGCCAUUUUGUCCAUGCCGUAGAAUGGGGUGAUGUUAGUUUGAGGGAGUGGUUGGACAAACCAGAACGCUCUGUUGAUGUCUUUGAGUGCUUGCACAUAUUUAGGCAAAUAGUAGAGAUUGUUAACGUAGCACAUUCCCAAGGAAUUGUUGUUCACAAUGUGCGGCCUUCCUGCUUUGUGAUGUCUUCUUUCAAUCAUGUCUCCUUCAUUGAGUCUGCAUCUUGUUCGGAUUCUGGUUCUGAUUCCUUGGAGGAUGGGUCCAACAGCCGAAAUGUGGAGGCUAAGAACUCAUCCUUUUCCUUGCCCCAUGAUACGCGUCAACAAAGAAGCAACCCAGGAAGUGAAGAUUUUCUAUCAGUGAUGACACCUACUAAUGCUCUAUCAGACACCACUUGCAUGCAGUCAAGUUCAGCAUAUGCAGCACGUGUGGCAUUAAUAGAAGAGACUGAAGAAAAUAGAGACAAAGAUAGGGGGAGAGUUGAAGAAGCAGAAGAAAAGAAGGAAACAUUUCCAAUGAAACAGAUACUGCUUAUGGAGGCCAAUUGGUACACAAGCCCCGAGGAGAUUGAGGGUUCUCCAAGUUCCUAUGCUUCGGAUGUUUAUCAGUUGGGGAUUCUUCUAUUUGAGUUAUUCUGUCCAUUUAGCUCGAGAGAAGAAAAAAGCAGUACUAUGUCUAGUCUGAGGCAUCGAGUUCUUCCUCCUCAAUUGUUGCUGAAAUGGCCAAAAGAAGCUUCAUUUUGCUUAUGGCUUCUGCACCCUGAGCCAAGUACUCGACCAAAAAUGGGUGAGUUGUUACAGAGUGAGUUCCUGAAUGAACCAAGACAUCAUUUGGAAGAACGCGAAGCAGUAAUUGAACUUAGAGAAAGAAUAGAGGAGCAGGAUUUGUUGCUGGAAUUCCUUUUGCUUGUUCAACAAAGAAAACUGGAAGCAGUUGAUAAGUUGCAAGACACCAUUUCCUUUUUGUGUACUGAUAUGGAAGAAGUAAUGAAGCACAAAACAAUCCUUAAGAAAAAAAGUGGGUCUUGCCCAGAACUGGGGAAGGAUGAUUAUUUAAUUUCAAGUCUUCCAUCUAUGAAUAUUGUUGAUAGUGGUGAUUCUACCGGCUUGGGGUCUAGAAAACGAUUUAGACCGGGGCUGAAGAUUCAGAACAUGGAAGAAUGUGAUGAUAAUCUCGGUGAUGCUCAGGAGUUAGAUACACCCAAUGAAAAUAAUGAAAGCCUUCUUUCAAAAAGUUAUCGGUUAAUGAAGAACUUUAAGAAACUGGAGUCUGCCUACUUUUUGACAAGAUGUAGGCCAAUCAAGCCCUCAGGGAAACCAGCGAGUAGACAUUCACCAAUAAGUAGUGAUGGCAAGGGGUCUAUUGUUCUGACUGAGAGAAGUUCUGUUAAUAAUUUGGCAUCAAAAGAGCUGUAUAGCGAGGGUAGACAAAGUGGUUGGAUAAAUCCAUUCCUCGAAGGGUUGUGCAAGUAUCUAUCUUUCAGUAAGUUAAAAGUUAAGGCAGACUUGAAGCAAGGGGAUCUGCUAAACUCUUCCAAUCUAGUAUGCUCUCUUAGCUUCGAUCGUGAUGGAGAGUUUUUUGCCACAGCUGGUGUAAAUAAGAAAAUUAAAGUUUUUGAAUGUGACGCAAUCAUAAAUGAAGAUCGUGAUAUUCACUAUCCUGUAGUUGAAAUGGCUAGUAGGUCAAAGCUAAGCAGUAUAUGUUGGAACAGUUAUAUCAAAAGCCAGAUUGCUUCAAGUAACUUUGAAGGUGUUGUACAGGUAUGGGAUGCUGCAAGAAGUCAAGCAGUGAUGGAAAUGAGAGAGCAUGAGAGGCGUGUAUGGUCCAUAGACUUCUCAUCAGCAGAUCCAACAAUGUUGGCCAGUGGGAGUGACGAUGGUUCUGUUAAGCUAUGGAGUAUCAAUCAGGCAAUUCUAUUUUUGCACUUCGUGGAUGUCAGCUUUGAAACUAAACGGAGACAGUAUUGGUACCAUCAAAGCAAAGGCGAAUGUCUGCUGUGUUCAGUUUCCUUUGGAUUCUGGUCGUUCCCUUGCAUUUGGUUCAGCAGAUCAUAGAAUCUAUUACUACGAUCUCCGCAACUUGAAAACUCCUUUGUGCACAUUAAUUGGACACAAUAAAACUGUGAGUUAUGUCAAAUUUGUAGAUACAAUGAAUAUUGUUUCUGCAUCCACGGAUAAUACUCUUAAGCUCUGGGACUUGUCAAUGUGCGCAUCUCGGGUUAUUGAUGCUCCACUUCAAUCAUUCACAGGACACAUGAAUGUAAAGAACUUUGUUGGUUUGUCAGUUUCUGAUGGUUACAUUGCUACUGGUUCAGAAACAAAUGAGGUGUUCAUCUACCACAAAGCUUUCCCCAUGCCUGCAUUGUCAUUCAAGUUUGACAACACAGACCCAUUGUCUGGCCAGGAAAUGGGUGACACUGCACAGUUCAUCUCUUCUGUUUGUUGGCGCAGCCAGUCAUCAACUCUAGUUGCUGCAAAUUCUGCAGGAAAUAUAAAAAUUUUGGAGAUGGUUUAAUGUGGCUACUCUCCAAUCAUCCAUGAUUCUAGGGAAAAGGAAUGGAAUAGAUUUAUGGGGGUAGAGACACGAGGUGAAAGGAAUCUUAUGCCGGAGACCUGUAACGAAGACAUAAUUUUAAAUGUCCUAGGAGCUCGAUGAUUCUGAGCAACUCAGGAAAAUUUUGGCAUUAGUUCAUAGCGGAUGUGGUUUUCCUGAAGAGUGAGGAUGAUCUUGUUCAAAUUUAAUGCAGAUAACUAUUCAAAGAAAAGAAAAAAGGGGUAAAAAAUCAUAAUCCUUUGUAUAUUUUGUAAUUCCUACAGUUCAUAAAGAUAUGAUAUGAAUUUACAACAGAUCUUCAAAUUCA
This is an RNA transcript of Juglans regia (Persian walnut), 3527 nucleotides long. It is a transcript of the gene named protein SPA1-RELATED 3-like, with no coding region annotated. Lineage: Eukaryota; Viridiplantae; Streptophyta; Magnoliopsida; Fagales; Juglandaceae. The record is from RefSeq and is a predicted model, not a curated record. The transcript is spliced from 8 exons.